CCUACGGGAGGCAGCAGUGAGGAAUAUUGGUCAAUGGACGGGAGUCUGAACCAGCCAAGUAGCGUGAAGGAAUACUGCCCUAUGGGUUGUAAACUUCUUUUAUCAAGGAAUAAAACGAGGCACGUGUGCCUUUUUGCAUGUUAUUUGUGAAUAAGGAUUGGCUAACGCCGUUCCAGCAGCCGCCGGAAUACGGAGGGACCGGGCGUUUUACGGAUUUAUUGGGUUUAAAGGGAGCGUAGAUGGGUUGUUAAGUCAGUCGUGAAAGUUUGCGGCUCAACCGUAAAAUUGCAAUUGAUACUGGCAGUCUUGAGUACAGUUGAGGUAGGCGGAAUUCGUGGUGUAGCGGUGAAAUGCUUAGAUAUCACGAAGAACCCCGAUUGCGAAGGCAGCUUACUAAACUGUGACUGACAUUGAUGCUCGAAAGUGUGGGUAUCAAACAGGAUUAGAUACCCCAGUAGUC
Molecule: ribosomal RNA, 460 nt
Filed under: uncultured bacterium
Lineage: Bacteria
Description: partial 16S ribosomal RNA
Rfam family: Bacterial small subunit ribosomal RNA
Source: RNAcentral